CCCAUUGUUGAUUCAGAUUCAGUUUGAAACCUUCAAUUCAUCUUGCAAAUUCAGUGCUUGUUUCCUCGUUCUUGCUAGUUCUUCGAUUGCUUGCAGGACGGGAGCCCUAGGGGCUGGUUGUCGCGCUCCACAAGAUCGUGACGGCUGUUGGACGUGGUGUAUCGGUUGCUAAGGCGUGGUCUUGAUGGCUGUAGUCGGGCCGUGAACGUCAUCUCCAACCACUAAUCGAGUUAUCUAGCGCCUCUCAUCGAAAGAUCAGGCCAAAAACCCUAGCGGGUUCGCAUCAGUUGGUAAUCAGAGCAAGGUUCUUCGGUGAGAGACUUCUAAUCCUUUGCUGUUUUUAAUUAAUUUCCUAUAGUCCAGAAAAGCCAAAAAAAAAUAUAGUAGAUUAGUUUUUCCAUAAUCCUAUUAAACCUUUGUGCCUUGGCUAGUACCGUUUUAGUUAGGGCUUGUUGAAUUUGCUGGUCUUAGUGUCUAGUCCUUUAGAGUUUCGAGUUCUUGUCACCAUCUAUACACAGCCGAGUAUUACCAUAUCUUCUCUCUGUCGAAUCUGUUGUGAAGUCCGAAUUGAACUGUGAUCCAAAAAGAAAGAUAACUCCAUACUUGUUCGGCCUUACUCUAGAGAGAGAGAGAGAGAGAGAGAGAGUGUGUAGCGAAUUGCUCUUUUGUAUUCCUUUGUUCAUAUAAUCAGUUUUUGAGGUUGCCCAAAAAAAAAGAAAAAAAAAGAAAAGAGAAAAGAUUCAAAAGAAAAAAAAGGGGCUGUUUUUCAUAUUGAUUUUAGGUUUCUUCCACCUUGUUUUCGGGGGUGUGCUGUGGUUUUCCUUUGUGUCCAGGCUCGCGUCUCUAGCACGGUCUAGCCUAGGACCAGCACAGUACCAUCGUCGAACGCUUAUUCAGCUCGCUUUUAUAACUAACGUGGUGCUAGUUCGUUCCUUGUUUCAGCCCACCUAUAGCUCCACAUACUCUACAGCUUGACAGGUCUUGUGCUACAGCACCGAUACACUUCGUCCAUUGCUGUACACUUGUUGGCAGAGGACCCCUCCUAUCAAGCAAGGUAAGAAUUGGUAAGAACUUG
RNAcentral lists this long non-coding RNA (1075 nucleotides) under Sorghum bicolor (sorghum). Its description in RNAcentral is "long non-coding RNA (SBIC_LNC018463)". Lineage: Eukaryota; Viridiplantae; Streptophyta; Magnoliopsida; Poales; Poaceae. The record is from RNAcentral.